GAUGAACGCUAGCUACAGGCUUAACACAUGCAAGUCGAGGGGCAUCAUGACGAAAGCUUGCUUUUGUUGAUGGCGACCGGCGCACGGGUGAGUAACGCGUAUCCAACCUUCCCCCUAGUAGGGCAUAGCCCGAUGAAAAUCGGAUUAAGACCCUAUGUUCUUCGUAGAUGGCAUCUGAAAUGAAGCAAAGGUUUACCGCUAAGGGAUGGGGAUGCGUCCGAUUAGGUAGUCGGCGGGGCAACGGCCCACCGAGCCAUCGAUCGGUAGGGGUUCUGAGAGGAAGGUCCCCCACAUUGGAACUGAGACACGGUCCAAACUCC
RNAcentral lists this ribosomal RNA (320 nucleotides) under uncultured Prevotella sp. RNAcentral's name for it is "bacterial SSU rRNA". It matches the Rfam family "Bacterial small subunit ribosomal RNA", at positions 28 to 339 of the family's 1533-position model. Lineage: Bacteria; Pseudomonadati; Bacteroidota; Bacteroidia; Bacteroidales; Prevotellaceae. The record is from RNAcentral.